RNAcentral lists this long non-coding RNA (213 nucleotides) under Lathyrus oleraceus (garden pea). Its description in RNAcentral is "Pisum sativum (pea) long non-coding RNA (PSAT_LNC024383)". The record is from RNAcentral. Lineage: Eukaryota; Viridiplantae; Streptophyta; Magnoliopsida; Fabales; Fabaceae.
AGUUUAUAAUUUUCCGUUCAAAAUUGUAAUUUGGAGAGUUUGCAAUUUUUUCCUUACAAAUUGUAAUUGUACGAUAAUGUUUAAUUUUCUGUUCAAAAUUGUAAUUUGGAAGGUUUAUGAGUUUUUCUUUAAUUUUUUGUUUCUUAUUCUUUUUUGUGGGUAAGCUUCCGCGUGCGCAGGAAUUUGUUUUUUUUUUGUUAUUUUCCCAAUUAC